RNAcentral lists this long non-coding RNA (547 nucleotides) under Rattus norvegicus (Norway rat). RNAcentral describes it as "long non-coding RNA NONRATT019779". The record is from RNAcentral. Lineage: Eukaryota; Metazoa; Chordata; Mammalia; Rodentia; Muridae.
GCUAAUGACAGGAUGUUCCUCAUAGCUUUUUAUUUUGUGUCAUCUUAUGUUUGUACAGUGUGUUGUCACUUUGAGUUUUAAGUAUAAAACCUGCUUAGAAUAGUUCUAUCAUGAAGGGCACUUUUCAGAUUGUGGGCUGGAAAGGGUUGUUUUUAUGGUGGGGUGCUUGAAGCCUAUUUAAAGUGAGCUUGUGACGAUUAUGCACAUUACCAGAGGCUUUAAGCUGGACCACUGUGUUGUACAGGCACAGACCUGAGGCAUGUGGACAGUGCUCUGUCCCCCUAAUCGCCUGCUCACAUUACUGUUGUUUCGUUGUUAUCUCUUCCUGUCACUUUUUUUUUUAAUCCCUAAAAAAAUAUUUUCUAGAAGUUUUUUUUUAAAGACAUCAAACAUGCAAAUACUUGAACCCAGCAGGCCAAUACUGAAACGUGAACACCUCCACGUUGACAUCCGUCCUCAGAGACAGGCUCUAGGGAAUGUCUGUGUUCAUAGCCUAUGUGUGUGUGUGUGUGUGCGUGUGUGUGUGUGUGUGUGUGUGUGUGUGCAU